This 497-nucleotide ribosomal RNA is filed under the name uncultured bacterium. RNAcentral's name for it is "partial 16S ribosomal RNA". It matches the Rfam family "Bacterial small subunit ribosomal RNA", at positions 28 to 507 of the family's 1533-position model. The record is from RNAcentral.
GAUGAACGCUGGCGGCGUGCCUAAUACAUGCAAGUCGAGCGAACAGACGAGGAGCGUGCUCCUCUGACGUUAGCGGCGGACGGGUGAUGAACACGUGUAUAACCUACCUAUAAGACUGGGAUAACUUCGGGAAACCGGAUCUAAUACCGGAUCAUAUAUUGAACCGCAUGGUUCAAUAGUGAAAGACGGUUUUGCUGUCACUUAUAGAGGGUUCCGCGCCGCAUUAGCUAGUUGGUAAGGUAACGGCUUACCAAGGCAACGAUGCGUAGCAGACCUGAGAGGGUGAUCGGCCACACUGGAACUGAGACACGGUCCAGACUCCUACGGGAGGCAGCAGUAGGGAAUAUUGCGCAAUGGGCGAAAGCUUGACGGAGCAACGCCGCGUGAGUGAAGAAGGUCUUCGGAUCGUAAAACUCUGUUAUUAGGGAAGAAAAAAUGUGUAAGUAACUAUGCACGUAUUGACGGUACCUAAUCAGAAAGCCCCGGCUAACUACGUG